Long non-coding RNA from Cyprinus carpio (common carp), 1067 nucleotides. The record is from Ensembl. Lineage: Eukaryota; Metazoa; Chordata; Actinopteri; Cypriniformes; Cyprinidae.
CUUUGGGUUUCGUUAAAUUAAACCUACAAUAUAGUAAUGUGCGACUAACUGGACUCCCUGUGUAAUUUAUGGCACUAGCUGAAAUGUUUUAUCCAUUAAAUAAUUUUGGUUAUAGUUCAUUUAAGAGAGACCCAAUUUGUUCAGUAAACCACUGUUUACUAAAGAAAGCAAUUUUGAUUAUUUUUUUCUCCUGCUAUACUAAAAUCAUACCUACCAUGAUUUCAAAACCGAUGGUAUGUACCAAAUAUUAUUUUUAUUUUUUUUGGUGUAACUUCAUUUAAAUUAUUUUUGGAACAUGAUUAAAAUGGACAAUAAUGCUGUCAUGUCCUAUUAUACUCUAAAUUUUUAUAUAACAUUAAAUCCAUAACAAUAUUUAAUAUGAUUUGAAAUGGUGUGCAGUUUGAUUUAGUUCAAUUCUACUAAAACGUGCAGAUUAUUGUACUUUCAGAACAAACAGCUUCCUGUGAAUGUUGCAGUCCAUCAUGUCUGUAUUCCCGGACAUUGUUCAAGUUAUCAGACAUUGUGUUUUUCCCCUUCUUAACUUACUCAGUGUUCUUCCUUGGUGGGCCCCUGAGGGUCUCAGGACAGAAAAGGUGUGCUCUAUGGAUUAAACAGGUGGAUGAGCACUCCAGCCAUCACCAUGAUGGUCUGCCUGAGAGACGCCCACUGGAGCUGAGAAAGAUGGAGUGGGUGGAUGAGCACUCCAGCCGUCACCAUGAUGGUCUGCCUGAGAGAUGCCCACUGGAGCUGAGAAAGAUGGAGUGGGUAAGAUUUGCUUGUUACAUUUUGCAAAUUAACAAACUAAGGCCUGCAACACACUCAGCAGCCAGAAUUACGUUUUAUAAAUUUUUGGGGUCUAAAAUCAUGAGCCAUGUGAAAUCAUGCGGAUCAGUAUAAGAUAAUUUGAGGGGAGUGGGGUUGGUGGUCAUGAUGUUCGAAAUCCAGGGUUUUUCCUGGGUCAAAAAUGGUCUUCGGUUGUGGCUGACGGUCAUCCACACAGUAAAAAGAACUCUAUCCACAUGAUUUGCAAAAUACUACAAUAAAUUUUAAACAAAUGCAAUGAAACA